Molecule: long non-coding RNA, 333 nt
Filed under: Mytilus galloprovincialis (Mediterranean mussel)
Lineage: Eukaryota; Metazoa; Mollusca; Bivalvia; Mytilida; Mytilidae
Source: RNAcentral
GGGGGGGGGAUAAUGAUUUUCUCUUUUGUUGUUCUGUCUAUGAAUUUUCUGUAAGGUAAAUAGUCGGGCCAAUCAUUAUUGGCUUCAUCUAUGAUUCCAAAAGAUCCCGAAUUUAUUGUUUCUAUGAAGUUUGGUUAAAGUAAGGCCCCUCAUAUGAUUAUGCACGAUUCUUCAUUUAAAUUGUUCGACGAUUUUUAAUUCAUAGGAAAUUAGAGAAAAGGGCAGGCAUGUGUAACCUGUCCCCAAAAAUAGGAUUGUGUUUUCGUUAAGAUUUUUUUAGAAAAAAUGUAUAUUAGAUACAACAGAAAAAAGGGGGAUACCCCAACCCUGGUG